This is a non-coding RNA of Osmia lignaria (orchard mason bee), 1860 nucleotides long. The record is from RefSeq and is a predicted model, not a curated record. NCBI's taxonomy places the organism in Eukaryota, Metazoa, Arthropoda, Insecta, Hymenoptera, Megachilidae.
UUGAAUCUUUAAGAGGGAGGGUAAGCGAUGCCUGGACAAAAAGACGAGCGAGUCCACGAGACAAAUAGCGACAGACGAACCGAUCGUGAAGGGGGAUAGGUGAAAAUGAAGAAAGAAAGAAAGAACAAACGAGGGCGGAGCAAGCUUUAUGCCGUCUCUUGGGUCCUGUUUCAGGAUCGAAUUGCCAACUCGUCAGAAUUGCACACCGGAGGGGUGUCAAACUUCUAUUUCAUUCUUUUUCGCUUCUUCUUCGCAUCUCUGUCAUAGUAAAUACUAGGUGCUUUCUAUUCUUUCGCGCGUUUAUUCGACCUUUUUAUACACGAUCGAUUGCGCUUUUUCUCAUCGGUUUUCAUCAUGUUUCUCUCUUUUCAUGGAAUACGUAAACAUCGUUUAUUCCAACUGCUCUUCGUUGCUUAUUCGACAGACUUCCCUGUUAUUUGCAGCUUUUAAAGUAUUUUUAUCACCGAUUGGAUAAAGGCGUUGGUACUGUAGAGAUUCUAAUUAAUUUCAAUUUAAUUUAAUAUAAUUCCUGCCAGUUUUCAAAUACACAAAAGCACGGGAAAAUAUUCGAAUUCAAUCCUUAGAUGGCGGACCAUGGAGAGAGCUAUUCAUAUUUAAAAUAGUAAUCAAGAAACCGUAAUGCUAAUCACAUCGAAUUAAUUUGUGCGCCUAAUAUUCUAAUUAUACUCUAAUUCUACUAUUAGAAUAUAAUUUCUAUUGUCUUAAGUGCAAUUUCCAUAACUAAAAUAAAUAAUAAUAUUAUAAGAAAAAAUGAAAUUCUGCCACGAUUAAAGUAGUUUUCCCUUAAUUCUCUUUAAUUUUUUUUAAUCUUCCUCCUACACUUUCUUCGUCCGAUACAAUGCAAAAUAUUAAUCAAGCAAACGAUACAGAACCGUUGUCACGUAACGAGGCACACAAAGGUUAGCCCCAUCGCAUUUUUUUUUUUUUCUUUCUCUUUCACAUUCGACGUUCGCGGGAAAACAUCCGAGUGUCUCUCUAAAUCCCGCAGCCUGCUCCCUUUCUGAAGCCGCGGAACGCAGUCUAUUAUGGCUGAUAACAAAACGUCAUGGGGGUAGGGAAAUCGUUAUGCAGCAACGGCAUGUAGCAAACCCUGGCGAAUUCGAGCCAGCUGGAAAGCUCCGACUCGUAAGCGGAGCUUAAAUCUGGCUUUGUCAUGGUGAAAACGUGGAAUCGAGCGUCGGGUCUAGGCGAUCCUCGCACCACCUGGACGAAGGGAUGACAGAGAGGGGGUGGCGCAGAGGGUGACCGAGGCCGAGAGAAUCGAGCCCUCCGUGUAUGGGUGGUGCAAUGACAAAGGUAGAUGAAGAAACGCAGACAGAGAAAUGAUAAAAGAAGAACUGUGAAGAGGAACAGGUAUUGAAUGGGACUGAUGGUGGUUAAGAAAAAAUAUCGAACCACAAUUUUAGAAUUCCUAAAAUUUCAAAAUUUCUCUACGCUAAACAGUCCCAGUUACGCCAGUGUAUAGAGAGAAAAAGGCAUUUCUGAUAAGGGUCAUUGUCAGAGAAAAAUGAUUCCUAAUGAGGGAAAAUUAAAGGCAAUUAAGAGCACGGAAAGCAGAGGGUUAGAUUAAUGGAAAUAAGAGCAAGGAAGAGUGCAUCUGCUGGAUUGAAAUAAAGAAAAAGAUUGCUAGGAAGAUUAUGACCCGAAGAAAUAACGAGAUUAAGGGAAACAGGAAACGUUUAUGAGUGAGUUCUUUAUGGUGCCCUUGAGAACUGUAACUGGAAAGUUGGAAAAUGAAAAUAAAUGGAAAAUAUCCACGAUGAAAACGUCAAGGAUUGAAAUUCCGCGAGAAGAAAAAGGAAAUCUAAGUACAUAGUCAAGAGCGAUGAAUAAAGAAAA